UUUAGCUGUACUGACCCGUGAAGUCCACAGUACAAUCUCAUGAGGUGUGUGACCUUAUUUUACAGAUGAGCGAACUGAGGCACACAAAGCUUCACAACUGUGAGCGGUGGGAGCUGGCAUUCAAACCCAGGUGGUCUGCUCCCAGACCACACACACCCUUAGCAACCAGUGUCUCUCGGCGCCCCAAGUCACCUUCACCAGCUCUGGCUCCCACGAGUCAAGGGUCAGAGACCGGACUUUGGAGAAAUGAACCCCGAGGCUCCUGGAAGGCCAGAGUGGGGGUCAGGCCUGCUGUGGGGCCACAGGCGCUGACCAGGAGGCCACAGGGCUGGGGGCUGCCCGGCCUGGCUCUGCCUAUUGCUUCCUCUUCUCCCUUCUCCUCCAGGACACCCCCAGAUGGCCUCCCCCCAGUCCAGCCGCCGAAGGGUUAAUGCCUGCUGCUGGAUGGGGACCUCCAAGAUGCCUCUGAUGGGCCCUACACUCACUUGCUGGGGGACACGACCUCAAA
Neogale vison (American mink) is the source of this 508-nucleotide long non-coding RNA. RefSeq lists it as uncharacterized. The record is from RefSeq and is a predicted model, not a curated record. NCBI's taxonomy places the organism in Eukaryota, Metazoa, Chordata, Mammalia, Carnivora, Mustelidae. The transcript is spliced from 3 exons.